This 1258-nucleotide long non-coding RNA is filed under the name Ananas comosus (pineapple). Its description in RNAcentral is "long non-coding RNA (ACOM_LNC018683)". Lineage: Eukaryota; Viridiplantae; Streptophyta; Magnoliopsida; Poales; Bromeliaceae. The record is from RNAcentral.
AAGUAUUUGAAAACUAAAUUUCAUAAUUUUUCGGUAUUAUUUACCUAUCAAACGAGUAGUUUGAAAAUAAAAAUCUCAUAAAAAAUAAUGAUAGAAGACUUGAAUUUAAGAUUAGAGGUACUGAUCUUACUUUAAAUAGUAAAAAGAAUUUUCUAUAAAAAUUUCAUCUGAUUUGAAUUGUUUUACACUAUUAAAUUUACAAAUGCAUCACAUCUAUCAUUAAAAUUAUCAAUUUUGAGACAUUUUGAUCACUAGCCAAAUGAUGUUGAAAAAUUCUGAAAUUUAGUUUCUAAAUACUUUCAAUAGUGUAGAUCAAGUCUAAUGGACCAGAUCGUCGAUUUGAAAACCGUAUCAUCGAAAAUAACUUGAUAAUACGGAAGCCUCCGUACUACCGAUAGUAUAGCAGCCCAACUCCAAUGAGAAAUGCCACCAACCAGCAAAUCGCAGGAAUAUUCACCACUGCUCUUUGUCUUGGUCGGUCCAGUCCUUUUGAUCAAUCAUUAUCUAUCCACUGCAGAAGGGAGCGCUUGGCUCGAGGCAGAAUCAUGCUUCACCAGCUUCAUGCAAUUGAUCAGAUUAAUUUAUUAAAUCUAAUCAAAUCGAGUCAAUAUAUAGUGUCUCUCUUAAUUACUAAUAGAAACAGUUUUAUCAAAGACUGUAACCAACAAGAUCGAUACGAUAAAAAAUAGUUUAAAAANUAUAUAUAUAUAUAUAUAUAUAUAUAUAUAUAAAAUGAGAAGAGCUAGGCUGCUAUACUAUCGGUAGCACGGACGCCUUCGUGCUACCAAGUUAUUUUCAAUUAUACCGCUUCCAAAUCGACGAUCGGCUCCGUUAAACUUGAUCUACACUAUUGAAAGUAUUUGAAAACUAAAUUUCAUAAUUUUUCGGUAUCAUUUACCUAUCAAACGAGUAAUCUGAAAAUAAAAAUUUCAUAAAAAAUAAUGAUAGAAGACUUGAAUUUAAGAUUAGAGAUACUGAUCCUACUCUAAAUAGUAAAAAGAAUUUUCUAUAAAAAUUUCAUCUGAUUUGAAUUGUUUUACACCAUUAAAUUUACAAAUGCAUCACAUCUAUCAUUAAAAUUGUCAAUUUUGAGACAUUUUGAUCACUAGCCAAAUGAUGUCGAAAAAUUCUGAAAUUUAGUUUCUAAAUACUUUCAAUAGUGUAGAUCAAGUCUAAUGGAGCCGAUUGUCGAUUUGAAAACUGCUUCAUCGAAAAUAACUUGAUAACAUGGAAGUCUCCGUACUACCGAUAGUAUAGC